GACGAACGCUGGCGGCGUGCCUAAUACAUGCAAGUAGAACGCUGAAGAGAGGAGCUUGCUCUUCUUGGAUGAGUUGCGAACGGGUGAGUAACGCGUAGGUAACCUGCCUUGUAGCGGGGGAUAACUAUUGGAAACGAUAGCUAAUACCGCAUAACAAUGGAUGACACAUGUCAUUUAUUUGAAAGGGGCAAUUGCUCCACUACAAGAUGGACCUGCGUUGUAUUAGCUAGUAGGUGAGGUAAUGGCUCACCUAGGCGACGAUACAUAGCCGACCUGAGAGGGUGAGCGGCCACACUGGGACUGAGACACGGCCCAGACUCCUACGGGAGGCAGCAGUAGGGAAUCUUCGGCAAUAGGGGCAACCCUGACCGAGCAACGCCGCGUGAGUGAAGAAGGUUUUCGGAUCGUAAAGCUCUGUUGUAAGUCAAGAACGGGUGUGAGAGUGGAAAGUUCACACUGUGACGGUAGCUUACCAGAAAGGGACGGCUAACUACGUG
Molecule: ribosomal RNA, 497 nt
Filed under: uncultured bacterium
Lineage: Bacteria
Description: partial 16S ribosomal RNA
Rfam family: Bacterial small subunit ribosomal RNA
Source: RNAcentral